UGCAAGUCGAACGGUCUCUUCGGAGGCAGUGGCAGACGGGUGAGUAAUGCAUGGGAAUCUACCGUUCUCUACGGAAUAACUCAGGGAAACUUGUGCUAAUACCGUAUACGCCCUUUUGGGGAAAGAUUUAUCGGAGAAUGAUGAGCCCAUGUUGGAUUAGCUAGUUGGUAGGGUAAAGGCCUACCAAGGCGACGAUCCAUAGCUGGUCUGAGAGGAUGAUCAGCCACACUGGGACUGAGACACGGCCCAGACUCCUACGGGAGGCAGCAGUGGGGAAUAUUGGACAAUGGGCGCAAGCCUGAUCCAGCCAUGCCGCGUGAGUGAUGAAGGCCCUAGGGUUGUAAAGCUCUUUCACCGGUGAAGAUAAUGACGGUAACCGGAGAAGAAGCCCCGGCUAACUUCGUGCCAGCAGCCGCGGUAAUACGAAGGGGGCUAGCGUUGUUCGGAUUUACUGGGCGUAAAGCGCACGUAGGCGGACUUUUAAGUCAGGGGUGAAAUCCCGGGGCUCAACCCCGGAACUGCCUUUGAUACUGGAAGUCUUGAGUAUGGAAGAGGUAAGUGGAAUUGCGAGUGUAGAGGUGA
Molecule: ribosomal RNA, 582 nt
Filed under: Stenotrophomonas maltophilia
Lineage: Bacteria; Pseudomonadati; Pseudomonadota; Gammaproteobacteria; Lysobacterales; Lysobacteraceae
Description: bacterial SSU rRNA
Rfam family: Bacterial small subunit ribosomal RNA
Source: RNAcentral